CCUACGGGAGGCAGCAGUGGGGAAUAUCGGACAAUGGGCGCAAGCCUGAUCCAGCCAUGCCGCGUGUGUGAAGAAGGCCUUCGGGUUGUAAAGCACUUUCAGUAGGGAGGAAGGCCUAACGGUUAAUACCCGUUAGGAUUGACGUUACCUACAGAAGCAGCACCGGCUAACUCCGUGCCAGCAGCCGCGGUAAUAC
Molecule: ribosomal RNA, 196 nt
Filed under: uncultured Gammaproteobacteria bacterium
Lineage: Bacteria; Pseudomonadati; Pseudomonadota; Gammaproteobacteria
Description: 16S ribosomal RNA
Rfam family: Bacterial small subunit ribosomal RNA
Source: RNAcentral